GGUUAAGUUAGAAAGGGCGCACGGUGGAUGCCUUGGCACUAGGAGCCGAUGAAGGACGGGACGAACACCGAUAUGCUUCGGGGAGCUGUAAGCAAGCUUUGAUCCGGAGAUUUCCGAAUGGGGAAACCCACCACUCGUAAUGGAGUGGUAUCCAUAUCUGAAUACAUAGGAUAUGAGAAGGCAGACCCGGGAACUGAAACAUCUAAGUACCCGGAGGAAGAGAAAGCAAAUGCGAUUCCCUGAGUAGCGGCGAGCGAAACGGGACCAGCCCAAACCAAGAGGCUUGCCUCUUGGGGUUGUAGGACACUCUGUACGGAGUUACAAAGGAACGAGGUAGAUGAAGAGGCCUGGAAAGGCCCGCCAUAGGAGGUAACAGCCCUGUAGUCAAAACUUCGUUCUCUCCUGAGUGGAUCCUGAGUACGGCGGAACACGUGAAAUUCCGUCGGAAUCCGGGAGGACCAUCUCCCAAGGCUAAAUACUCCCUAGUGACCGAUAGUGAACCAGUACCGUGAGGGAAAGGUGAAAAGCACCCGGAAGGGGAGUGAAAGAGAUCCUGAAACCGUGUGCCUACAAGUAGUCAGAGCCCGUUAACGGGUGAUGGCGUGCCUUUUGUAGAAUGAACCGGCGAGUUACGAUCCCGUGCAAGGUUAAGCAGAAGAUGCGGAGCCGCAGCGAAAGCGAGUCUGAAUAGGGCGAAUUGAGUACGUGGUCGUAGACCCGAAACCAGGUGAUCUACCCAUGUCCAGGGUGAAGUUCAGGUAACACUGAAUGGAGGCCCGAACCCACGCACGUUGAAAAGUGCGGGGAUGAGGUGUGGGUAGGGGUGAAAUGCCAAUCGAACCUGGAGAUAGCUGGUUCUCUCCGAAAUAGCUUUAGGGCUAGCCUCAAGGUAAGAGUCUCGGAGGUAGAGCACUGAUUGGACUAGGGGCCCCUACCGGGUUACCGAAUUCAGUCAAACUCCGAAUGCCGAUGACUUAUCCUUGGGAGUCAGACUGCGAGUGAUAAGAUCCGUAGUCGAAAGGGAAACAGCCCAGACCGCCAGCUAAGGUCCCAAAGUAUACGUUAAGUGGAAAAGGAUGUGGAGUUGCUUAGACAACCAGGAUGUUGGCUUAGAAGCAGCCACCAUUUAAAGAGUGCGUAAUAGCUCACUGGUCGAGUGACUCUGCGCCGAAAAUGUACCGGGGCUAAACGUAUCACCGAAGCUGCGGACUGUUCUUCGAACAGUGGUAGGAGAGCGUUCUAAGGGCUGUGAAGCAAGACCGGAAGGACUUGUGGAGCGCUUAGAAGUGAGAAUGCCGGUAUGAGUAGCGAAAGAGGGGUGAGAAUCCCCUCCACCGAAUGCCUAAGGUUUCCUGAGGAAGGCUCGUCCGCUCAGGGUUAGUCGGGACCUAAGCCGAGGCCGAAAGGCGUAGGCGAUGGAUAACAGGUUGAUAUUCCUGUACCACCUCCUCACCAUUUGAGCAAUGGGGGGACGCAGGAGGAUAGGGUAAGCGCGGUAUUGGAUAUCCGCGUCCAAGCAGUUAGGCUGGGAAAUAGGCAAAUCCGUUUCCCGUGAAGGCUGAGCUGUGAUGGCGAGCGAAUUAUAGUAGCGAAGUUCCUGAUUCCACACUGCCAAGAAAAGCCUCUAGCGAGGUGAGAGGUGCCCGUACCGCAAACCGACACAGGUAGGCGAGGAGAGAAUCCUAAGGUGAUCGAGAGAACUCUCGUUAAGGAACUCGGCAAAAUGACCCCGUAACUUCGGGAGAAGGGGUGCUCUGUUAGGGUGCAAGCCCGAGAGAGCCGCAGUGAAUAGGCCCAGGCGACUGUUUAGCAAAAACACAGGUCUCUGCGAAGCCGUAAGGCGAAGUAUAGGGGCUGACGCCUGCCCGGUGCUGGAAGGUUAAGAGGAGCGCUUAGCGUAAGCGAAGGUGCGAAUUGAAGCCCCAGUAAACGGCGGCCGUAACUAUAACGGUCCUAAGGUAGCGAAAUUCCUUGUCGGGUAAGUUCCGACCCGCACGAAAGGCGCAACGAUCUGGGCACUGUCUCAACGAGAGACUCGGUGAAAUUAUAGUACCUGUGAAGAUGCAGGUUACCCGCGACAGGACGGAAAGACCCCGUGGAGCUUUACUGCAGCCUGAUAUUGAAUGUUGGUACAGCUUGUACAGGAUAGGUAGGAGCCUUGGAAACCGGAGCGCCAGCUUCGGUGGAGGCAUCGGUGGGAUACUACCCUGGCUGUAUUGACCUUCUAACCCGCCGCCCUUAUCGGGCGGGGAGACAGUGUCAGGUGGGCAGUUUGACUGGGGCGGUCGCCUCCUAAAAGGUAACGGAGGCGCCCAAAGGUUCCCUCAGAAUGGUUGGAAAUCAUUCGCAGAGUGUAAAGGCACAAGGGAGCUUGACUGCGAGACCUACAAGUCGAGCAGGGACGAAAGUCGGGCUUAGUGAUCCGGUGGUUCCGCAUGGAAGGGCCAUCGCUCAACGGAUAAAAGCUACCCCGGGAUAACAGGCUUAUCUCCCCCAAGAGUCCACAUCGACGGGGAGGUUUGGCACCUCGAUGUCGGCUCAUCGCAUCCUGGGGCUGUAGUCGGUCCCAAGGGUUGGGCUGUUCGCCCAUUAAAGCGGUACGCGAGCUGGGUUCAGAACGUCGUGAGACAGUUCGGUCCCUAUCCGUCGCGGGCGCAGGAAAUUUGAGAGGAGCUGUCCUUAGUACGAGAGGACCGGGAUGGACGCACCGCUGGUGUACCAGUUGUUCUGCCAAGGGCAUCGCUGGGUAGCUAUGUGCGGACGGGAUAAGUGCUGAAAGCAUCUAAGCAUGAAGCCCCCCUCAAGAUGAGAUUUCCCAUUCCGCAAGGAAGUAAGAUCCCUGAAAGAUGAUCAGGUUGAUAGGUCUGAGGUGGAAGUGUGGCGACACAUGGAGCUGACAGAUACUAAUCGAUCGAGGACUUAACCAA
RNAcentral lists this ribosomal RNA (2927 nucleotides) under Bacillus velezensis. RNAcentral describes it as "23S ribosomal RNA". It matches the Rfam family "Bacterial large subunit ribosomal RNA". The record is from RNAcentral. Lineage: Bacteria; Bacillati; Bacillota; Bacilli; Caryophanales; Bacillaceae.